Molecule: transfer RNA, 99 nt
Filed under: Talaromyces rugulosus
Lineage: Eukaryota; Fungi; Ascomycota; Eurotiomycetes; Eurotiales; Trichocomaceae
Description: tRNA-Gln
Source: RNAcentral
GGUUCUGUGUUCUAGUGGUUAUGAAACUCGGUUCUGAUGUGAGCCAUUGUCUCUUAUACAAGACUCCGAGCAGCCCCGGUUCGAUUCCGGGCAGGACCU